This 240-nucleotide ribosomal RNA is filed under the name uncultured bacterium. RNAcentral describes it as "partial 16S ribosomal RNA". It matches the Rfam family "Bacterial small subunit ribosomal RNA", at positions 541 to 780 of the family's 1533-position model. The record is from RNAcentral.
UUAUCCGGAAUUAUUGGGCGUAAAGGGCUCGUAGGCGGUUCGUCGCGUCCGGUGUGAAAGUCCAUCGCUUAACGGUGGAUCCGCGCCGGGUACGGGCGGGCUUGAGUGCGGUAGGGGAGACUGGAAUUCCCGGUGUAACGGUGGAAUGUGUAGAUAUCGGGAAGAACACCAAUGGCGAAGGCAGGUCUCUGGGCCGUCACUGACGCUGAGGAGCGAAAGCGUGGGGAGCGAACAGGAUUA